Misgurnus anguillicaudatus (oriental weatherfish) is the source of this 909-nucleotide non-coding RNA. The record is from RefSeq and is a predicted model, not a curated record. Lineage: Eukaryota; Metazoa; Chordata; Actinopteri; Cypriniformes; Cobitidae.
ACGUCUCACAAGAUUUUCCUUAUAUCAAUAACCUCGCGUGUGAUUGGAGGAGCCCGACAGGCUUCUCGCCUUCGUCCAAUCGCGUGCGAGGUCAUGGCCACGGCUCACACAGCAGUACAAGAGGACCAUUAAGCGAUGUUUGGUUUGGUGUUUGUAACUCUCCAAGAAGAGAAGACGGGUGCACAAUCCCAAGAUUGCGGAGGCUGUACGGCGUCUCUGAGGCACACUGCAGGCGCUUUGAACCAGAGCAAAGACUAACGUCGCCUCAUAACGAAGCCGUGACCUCCUAUUUGGUUGGGGCUAUUUUAGCAAGUCCACAUUUAACUGCUGAGAAUGACGACAUUGUUUCUGCCUGUAAGACGUAUUAUGAGUCGGUUCGCCGGAGCUUCAGAUACAAACAACCUGAACUCGCAUCGCGGGCGGAAAAUGCGAAAAGUUUAGCUCGGAGUCGAUCCAGAAGAAAAAGGUUGCUGGAAGCGAGACGAAGUGUGCUGGCUGAGGGUGAGAUGGACAUUUGAAAGUGCGCCACCAUAGAUCUCAUGUCUGAUGAAGACGGCAUUGUUGACGGGGUGUCUGGAUGGAUUGUACGGCCACCGCCCUCUCGCAGCCUGGAACUCUCCGAGCUCUGUGCCACGCUGCAAUUCAGAUUAGAGGCGAUACCAAAGUACAGGGGAACUCACCAUAUAUGCCUGCAAAAGCGACUUUUUACAACGUUUUUGAGUUUUCUUUUUCUUUUUUCAACACUUGAGAACUUUGAAAAAGAUUUUUAGGGAUCUUUCCCGAAUGUCUUGGGCACUUUUUGACGUGUUUGGAGGACAACAUAAGAGACAUUAUGCUGCUUUGUACAUAGUUGUGUGUUUCUAAUUAAAGCUCUUUCUUUGAAUAAACAGCUGUGUGUUUAUAAAUAAA